This 224-nucleotide ribosomal RNA is filed under the name uncultured bacterium. Its description in RNAcentral is "partial 16S ribosomal RNA". It matches the Rfam family "Bacterial small subunit ribosomal RNA", at positions 116 to 334 of the family's 1533-position model. The record is from RNAcentral.
CGUAAAGAACCUGCCUCAUAGACUGGGACAACUAUUGGAAACGAUAGCUAAUACCGGAUAACAGCAUUAACUGCAUGGUUGAUGUUUGAAAGUUGGUUAUGCUAACACUAUGAGAUGGCUUUGCGGUGCAUUAGCUAGUUGGUGGGGUAAAGGCCCACCAAGGCGACGAUACAUAGCCGACCUGAGAGGGUGAUCGGCCACACUGGGACUGAGACACGGCCCAG